Non-coding RNA from Cyanistes caeruleus (blue tit), 576 nucleotides. NCBI's taxonomy places the organism in Eukaryota, Metazoa, Chordata, Aves, Passeriformes, Paridae. The record is from RefSeq and is a predicted model, not a curated record.
GGUGGCGCUGCUGAGGGCGCUGGGGUGGCUGCGGGAGCAGGGACAGCAGUAAAGGACAUUGGUGACACUGAUGGUGGCACUGGGGUGACACUGAUGUGACAUUGAUGGUGGCACUGGGGUGACAUUGGUGGUGGCACUGGGGUGACAUUGAUGGUGGCAGUGGGGUGACAUUGGUGACAUUGAUAGUAACACUGGGGUGACAUUGAUGUGACAUUGGUGGUGGCACUGGGGUGACAUUGGUGACACUGAUGGUGACACUGGGGUGACAUUGGUGACAUUGAUGGUGACACUGGGGUGACAUUGAUGUGACAUUGAUGGUGACACUGGGGUGGCUGCGGGAGCAGGGACAGCAGUAAAGGACAUUGGUGACACUGAGGUGACAUUUGGUGACAUUGGUGACAUUGGUGGUGGCACUGGGGUGGCUGCGGGAGCAGGGACAGCAGUAAAGGACAUUGGUGACACUGAGGUGACAUUGAUGGUGGCACUGAGGUGACAUUGGUGGCAUUGGUGACAUUGAUGGUGGCACUGGGGUGGCUGCGGGAGCAGGGACAGCAGUAAAGGACAUUGGUGACAUUG